GCUGGGCGUGGUGGCGCGCGCCUGUAAUCCCAGCUACCGGGGAGGCUGAGGCGGGAGAAUCUCUUGAACCCGGGAGGCGGAGGUUGCAGUGAGCGGAGAUCGCGCCACUGCACUCCAGCCUGGGCGACAGAGCGAGACUCCGUCUCAA
Unclassified non-coding RNA from Pongo abelii (Sumatran orangutan), 148 nucleotides. It matches the Rfam family "Metazoan signal recognition particle RNA". Rfam says of the family: The signal recognition particle (SRP) is a universally conserved ribonucleoprotein. It is involved in the co-translational targeting of proteins to membranes. The eukaryotic SRP consists of a 300-nucleotide 7S RNA and six proteins: SRPs 72, 68, 54, 19, 14, and 9. The record is from Ensembl. Lineage: Eukaryota; Metazoa; Chordata; Mammalia; Primates; Hominidae.